GAAGAGAACGGCUUUUUUAGGUCUCUUGGUCGCUUUGGGGGGCGCAGGCCGGGGGAGGCCGUUGAGGCCAAAGCCGGGGCCGAGCCCCUGGCUGCUGUCCCGGGCCACCAGGCUCACGCUCAGGUCCAUGCCUCCCUGCUCUGCCCGCAGCGGCCAGAGUCCCCAGCUGCCGGCCGUCAGCCCCCACCACAGACCUCCCCACGCGAGGCGCUCUGGGUCGGGCCGGCGCGAUCAAAUUCUGCCGCGGUGCUGGAAGGAAGCCCGUGCCUGCCCUGGCACUGCCAGCUUCUGUGCAGAUGUAACCUGAGUGGCCCAGCAGCCACGACCCAGCUAAAUAUAAAACUGCCCCACCGGAGUCCCCCAGGAGCCAUGCCACAGACCUCCCGGGGCGGGGGGCACCUGGGAGCAGCACCCCCAGGCCUGGGGGGUUCCAACUGUAAGGCUUUCCAGUAGACGUGGACCCCCAACAGCACGGCAGGGAGAUGCCCAGGAUGGGCACAGAGGCGGGUCCCAGCCCAGUGCAGAGCAAGGGCCAGUCCACCAGGAGGAGGGGGAGAGGUCAGCGGGCAGCCCAGGGCCCAGCGCAGCCCUCAAAGCUCCCUGGGCUUGGAGAAAUCCCAGCUAUUCUGAGAAUCCGUGAGAUAGAUCAUUCAUUUCCCCUUCUGAGCUGCAAGGGACACUCUGGAUUAGUUUCCUCGUGCGUUCGUGUUCCCAGGGAAGGUGACAGAUUCCGGGGUUCCCAGCGCGGAGAGCCUCGCUCUAAGUGUGGAAAGGGUCUGGAAAUGGAGAAACUUCCACCAAGCACCCUCAACCAAUCCUGAGACCUUGGCCCCCACCUCCAUGGCCCCCUCUCCGCCUGCUUCUCAUCAGGCCCACCCAGGCCUUGUUCAAGGCCACCACCAGGGCAGUCCUUCCACCACACCAGCCCAGCACAACAUCUGUGUCCAGGCUCUGAGCCCCCAGAGCCCAGAGCAGACAUCCCAGGCACCCCCCAGUCUCUGAGCCCCAGUCAGGGGAGCACGGGGGCAAUGCUGGGAGGGGCAGGGCUCCGAGGGGGGUCUGACCCACCCACCCUAAGCAGGCAGACAGAAGGCAUGCCAGCCAGCAGUGAAAGGUGCUAACUUGGGGGAGCUGGAGCGAGGCCUAGCAGCCCCAGCCUGUCAUGAAAGGUCUAAGGGCCCUGGGGCAGGGCUUGAUGCGGAUCUUAUCAGACACCCAGGCAGGACUGGGUCUGACCCCAAGUAGGCCCUUCCCGCCUGGUAGGCCCUCAUCGGAGGCAGCAUGGACAAAAGGAGAACGUGGAACCCAAGGCAGGGCCCUGAACAAGGCUCUCUGAAGGCACACCCACCCAGCCAGGGACCCCCCCCCCCGCCCCCGCCCCAGGGAAAGGGUUCCUCUCUGACACCCCCUACUGCCAGUAGGAGAGGCAGGGGCUCAGCAGGCGGCACACAGGACUGAUCCCAGGCUUCUCUCUCAGUCCCACCCUGGGGGCAGGUAGGAAGCUGUGUACCUUGAGGGGCUGGCAUGGUGCCUAACAGACCAGACGUACCCCAAAACGUCAGGAUGUGAGGAGACCCCGAGGGCCUGCAAAGAGGGAAAGGGGAUGGGCCUGGGUUCAGAUCCUGGCUCCCCGCACCAGCCAGGGGUGGCUGUAGGCCUGUGUGUCCAUCCAUGCUCCACCUGUCCCUCAUCACCGACCGAGGGCAGGAGAGUCCAGAGCCCAAGAACUGCUGGCCAGCGUUCCUGUUACCAUGCUAGAGCAGGAGCCUGCCAUCACCUGGGGCAGGUUACUGAACGCCUCGGAGUCACACAGAUGACACAGUCAGACAGAAGGGCCAGGAGGAGGGGGCUGGUUGUGCCCCCCAAGCAACUAGCCCCACCCAGGGCACUCCCGGGAGAGGGGAGGGGCACAGGCGAAAUGUGCCAGAAAGGGCAAUGACAGCAGGUCCCUGAGCGGGCAGAGGGCCUGCGGCCCCGUGGCUGCAGGCAUAUUAAUAGUUGCCGGGUCCCCGGUGGCAACACCCACAUGUCUUCGGGACCCGUGUGGUCUGCAGGAGGGCUGCACCGCCUCUACUGGGAGAGCAGGCCUCCGAGUUCCUGCUGAACCACUCAACAGCUUAAAAUACAACCAGCCCCUCUCCCGGCCGGCCAGCUGCUGGGGGAGGGCUGAAAUCCUACCCUCUCCCCCAAGCUGGGCACCAGACCAGGACCCAGGAGCAGACAGUGGGCCCUAGGAGCCCCGACUGGCUGCUGGGAAAGGAAGCGGGGCGGCGGGAGGGGGCAGCGGGGACAGAGGCCACCCCUCCCAGCGGCUGCCACUGCCGCGGCCGCACCCAGGCUGCAAGGAGCAGCGGCGCCCUCGCGGAGCAGGAAGGCGCGGUCGGGCCAGGGAGCUGGAAGAGGAGGAGACGCUGGAGCCCUGUGGACGCAGGCUAACAACACGCUGACCAGCAGGGGGCGCUCGUCCAGGCUGACUCCCGACCUGCACCCAACACGCCCAGCCCCAGGUGCAGCAGGCAGACCCCACCCCUGAGCCUUCAACUGUUGAGCACUCCAGAACUCAGAGGCCUGGCAUCAGAGACGUGGUGAGAAGUCCUCAAGACAGAUUGUUGGUUCACAGGAGAGCAGGGCGGGGGGAAGAGUAAUUGCUUUACAGUGCUGUGCUGGUUUCUGCUGUAC
This is a long non-coding RNA of Capra hircus (goat), 2679 nucleotides long. RefSeq lists it as uncharacterized. Lineage: Eukaryota; Metazoa; Chordata; Mammalia; Artiodactyla; Bovidae. The transcript has 4 exons. The record is from RefSeq and is a predicted model, not a curated record.